AUGUAUCACAUGGUGGACAGCAGGGACCAGGUAAUGCACGCGUUUGCUCCGGCGACGGCGCAGGGCGCGGCUCCGACCAUCUCGUUCGCCUUCCCCUGCCCCGGCGCGGAGCAGAGCGCCGGCCUGCUUCGUGGCGCCAGCUACCUCACUCCCGCGCAAAUCCUCCAGCUCCAGUCGCAGCUGCACCACGUGCGCCGGGCGCCGGGCGCGGCCAUGGCCGCGGUGGGGCAGCCGAUGAAGCGGCACGGCGUGGCAGCGCUCCCGGCGCGGCCGGCGACCAAGCUUUACCGCGGCGUAAGGCAGCGGCAUUGGGGGAAGUGGGUCGCCGAGAUCCGCCUGCCCCGCAACCGCACCCGCCUCUGGCUCGGCACCUUCGACACCGCCGACGAGGCCGCGCUGGCCUACGACGCCGCCGCCUUCCGGCUCCGCGGCGAGUCCGCCAGGCUCAACUUCCCCGAGCUCAGGCGCGGCGGCGAGCACCACGGCCCGCCGCUCGACGCCGCGAUCGACGCCAAGCUCCGCUCCAUCUGCCACGGGGAAGACAUGCCCCAGAGCCAGAGCGAUGAGACGCCGGCGCCGACGACGACACUGACGCCGAUUUCUUUCCCGGACGUCAAGAGCGAGCCAGUCUGCUCCGUCUCCGAGAGCUCGUCGUCGGCUGACGGCGAGGUGUCCUCGUGCUCCGACGUCGUCCCGGAGAUGCAGCUUCUUGAUUUCUCGGAGGCUCCAUGGGACGAGUUCCUGCUGCGCAAGUACCCGUCGCUCGAGAUCGACUGGGACGCGAUCCUUUCUUGA
Molecule: ribosomal RNA, 795 nt
Filed under: Triticum aestivum (bread wheat)
Lineage: Eukaryota; Viridiplantae; Streptophyta; Magnoliopsida; Poales; Poaceae
Description: partial small subunit ribosomal RNA
Source: RNAcentral